UACGGAGGGUGCGAGCGUUGUCCGGAAUCACUGGGCGUAAAGAGCUCGUAGGCGGUCUGUCGCGUCGGAUGUGAAAGCCCGGGGCUUAACCCCGGGUCUGCAUUCGAUACGGGCAGACUAGAGUGUGGUAGGGGAGAUCGGAAUUCCUGGUGUAGCGGUGAAAUGCGCAGAUAUCAGGAGGAACACCGGUGGCGAAGGCGGAUCUCUGGGCCAUUACUGACGCUGAGGAGCGAAAGCGUGGGGAGCGAACAGG
This 253-nucleotide ribosomal RNA is filed under the name uncultured bacterium. RNAcentral describes it as "partial 16S ribosomal RNA". It matches the Rfam family "Bacterial small subunit ribosomal RNA", at positions 524 to 776 of the family's 1533-position model. The record is from RNAcentral.